This 2278-nucleotide ribosomal RNA is filed under the name Pseudomonas aeruginosa. Its description in RNAcentral is "bacterial LSU rRNA". It matches the Rfam family "Bacterial large subunit ribosomal RNA", at positions 14 to 2330 of the family's 2925-position model. Lineage: Bacteria; Pseudomonadati; Pseudomonadota; Gammaproteobacteria; Pseudomonadales; Pseudomonadaceae. The record is from RNAcentral.
AGCGCAUACGGUGGAUGCCUUGGCAGUCAGAGGCGAUGAAAGACGUGGUAGCCUGCGAAAAGCUUCGGGGAGUCGGCAAACAGACUUUGAUCCGGAGAUCUCUGAAUGGGGGAACCCACCUAGGAUAACCUAGGUAUCUUGUACUGAAUCCAUAGGUGCAAGAGGCGAACCAGGGGAACUGAAACAUCUAAGUACCCUGAGGAAAAGAAAUCAACCGAGAUUCCCUUAGUAGUGGCGAGCGAACGGGGAUUAGCCCUUAAGCUUCAUUGAUUUUAGCGGAACGCUCUGGAAAGUGCGGCCAUAGUGGGUGAUAGCCCCGUACGCGAAAGGAUCUUUGAAGUGAAAUCGAGUAGGACGGAGCACGAGAAACUUUGUCUGAACAUGGGGGGACCAUCCUCCAAGGCUAAAUACUACUGACUGACCGAUAGUGAACCAGUACCGUGAGGGAAAGGCGAAAAGAACCCCGGAGAGGGGAGUGAAAUAGAACCUGAAACCGUAUGCGUACAAGCAGUGGGAGCCUACUUGUUAGGUGACUGCGUACCUUUUGUAUAAUGGGUCAGCGACUUAUAUUCAGUGGCGAGCUUAACCGUAUAGGGUAGGCGUAGCGAAAGCGAGUCUUAAUAGGGCGUUUAGUCGCUGGGUAUAGACCCGAAACCGGGCGAUCUAUCCAUGAGCAGGUUGAAGGUUAGGUAACACUGACUGGAGGACCGAACCCACUCCCGUUGAAAAGGUAGGGGAUGACUUGUGGAUCGGAGUGAAAGGCUAAUCAAGCUCGGAGAUAGCUGGUUCUCCUCGAAAGCUAUUUAGGUAGCGCCUCAUGUAUCACUCUGGGGGGUAGAGCACUGUUUCGGCUAGGGGGUCAUCCCGACUUACCAAACCGAUGCAAACUCCGAAUACCCAGAAGUGCCGAGCAUGGGAGACACACGGCGGGUGCUAACGUCCGUCGUGAAAAGGGAAACAACCCAGACCGCCAGCUAAGGUCCCAAAGUUGUGGUUAAGUGGUAAACGAUGUGGGAAGGCUUAGACAGCUAGGAGGUUGGCUUAGAAGCAGCCACCCUUUAAAGAAAGCGUAAUAGCUCACUAGUCGAGUCGGCCUGCGCGGAAGAUGUAACGGGGCUCAAACCACACACCGAAGCUGCGGGUGUCACGUAAGUGACGCGGUAGAGGAGCGUUCUGUAAGCCUGUGAAGGUGAGUUGAGAAGCUUGCUGGAGGUAUCAGAAGUGCGAAUGCUGACAUGAGUAACGACAAUGGGUGUGAAAAACAUCCACGCCGAAAGACCAAGGGUUCCUGCGCAACGUUAAUCGACGCAGGGUUAGUCGGUUCCUAAGGCGAGGCUGAAAAGCGUAGUCGAUGGGAAACAGGUUAAUAUUCCUGUACUUCUGGUUACUGCGAUGGAGGGACGGAGAAGGCUAGGCCAGCUUGGCGUUGGUUGUCCAAGUUUAAGGUGGUAGGCUGAAAUCUUAGGUAAAUCCGGGGUUUCAAGGCCGAGAGCUGAUGACGAGUCGUCUUUUAGAUGACGAAGUGGUUGAUGCCAUGCUUCCAAGAAAAGCUUCUAAGCUUCAGGUAACCAGGAACCGUACCCCAAACCGACACAGGUGGUCGGGUAGAGAAUACCAAGGCGCUUGAGAGAACUCGGGUGAAGGAACUAGGCAAAAUGGCACCGUAACUUCGGGAGAAGGUGCGCCGGCUAGGGUGAAGGAUUUACUCCGUAAGCUCUGGCUGGUCGAAGAUACCAGGCCGCUGCGACUGUUUAUUAAAAACACAGCACUCUGCAAACACGAAAGUGGACGUAUAGGGUGUGACGCCUGCCCGGUGCCGGAAGGUUAAUUGAUGGGGUUAGCGCAAGCGAAGCUCUUGAUCGAAGCCCCGGUAAACGGCGGCCGUAACUAUAACGGUCCUAAGGUAGCGAAAUUCCUUGUCGGGUAAGUUCCGACCUGCACGAAUGGCGUAACGAUGGCGGCGCUGUCUCCACCCGAGACUCAGUGAAAUUGAAAUCGCUGUGAAGAUGCAGUGUAUCCGCGGCUAGACGGAAAGACCCCGUGAACCUUUACUGUAGCUUUGCACUGGACUUUGAGCCUGCUUGUGUAGGAUAGGUGGGAGGCUUUGAAGCGUGGACGCCAGUUCGCGUGGAGCCAUCCUUGAAAUACCACCCUGGCAUGCUUGAGGUUCUAACUCUGGUCCGUAAUCCGGAUCGAGGACAGUGUAUGGUGGGCAGUUUGACUGGGGCGGUCUCCUCCUAAAGAGUAACGGAGGAGUACGAAGGUGCGCUCAGACCGG